This 465-nucleotide ribosomal RNA is filed under the name uncultured bacterium. Its description in RNAcentral is "partial 16S ribosomal RNA". It matches the Rfam family "Bacterial small subunit ribosomal RNA", at positions 28 to 507 of the family's 1533-position model. The record is from RNAcentral.
GACGAACGCUGGCGGCGUGCUUAACACAUGCAAGUCGAACGGAAAGGCCCCCUUGUGGGGUACUCGAGUGGCGAACGGGUGAGUAACACGUGAGUAACCUACCCUUGACUUUGGGAUAACUUCAGGAAACUGGGGCUAAUACUGGAUAGGAGCUCCUGCUGCAUGGUGGGGGUUGGAAAGUUUCGGCGGUUGGGGAUGGACUCGCGGCUUAUCAGCUUGUUGGUGGGGUAGUGGCUCACCAAGGCUUUGACGGGUAGCCGGCCUGAGAGGGUGACCGGCCACAUUGGGACUGAGAUACGGCCCAGACUCCUACGGGAGGCAGCAGUGGGGAAUAUUGCACAAUGGGCGGAAGCCUGAUGCAGCAACGCCGCGUGCGGGAUGACGGCCUUCGGGUUGUAAACCGCUUUCGCCUGUGACGAAGCGUGAGUGACGGUAAUGGGUAAAGAAGCACCGGCUAACUACGUG